CCCAGAUGUCUGGAAACCGAACAAAACAACCUAAAUCUGUACCACCAGACAUCUGGUGUGGGUGAUCGUCUCGACAGUGCUGCACUGAAGCACAUCUCAUGUACUACACUGCCUCUAACUACCUUUAACCUUCAGUUUUGACUUAUAGUGGUAUGAUUGACAGCUGUCAUCGUGUCUUAAAUGUUCAUCAUGGCCUCAAGAGAGGUCGAGGUGUAAGGUCAGCUCAGACCUGGUAGAGACUCUCUUGUUGCUCAAGGACGUUUCAGCUGCAGGGCUGCUGCAUCAAUGAUAGCUGCUCUGCUCUGCUGCCAACCAGCUGCUGACCAGUUGUUGCUUGUCGAGGUCAAGUUCUGGGCAUUGAAGACUAAGUGAAGAAAAAGACAAGGUUGAAUGUUCAAACCCCUUUUUUUCUAGUGUUCACUCACCUUCGUCCACCUGUCCUCUCCCCUCGGGCUUCCUCCGCAGCGCUCCCCCGGCUCCUCGCCAGUCCACCUGCCACCACACCGCUCCCUUCCCCGGUCUCCUGUCCUCCACGGCUCCCUCGCCUCUCCUCCUCCGCCUCAGCAGCUCCUCGGUCCUCCAUGCCCACGUUCCCCGGCGUCCACCUCACCACGUUCUUCUCUUACCCAGCCUCCCUGUUCCCCUAAAUAAACAUCUUUAACUGAG
Long non-coding RNA from Micropterus dolomieu (smallmouth bass), 666 nucleotides. RefSeq lists it as uncharacterized. The transcript is spliced from 4 exons. NCBI's taxonomy places the organism in Eukaryota, Metazoa, Chordata, Actinopteri, Centrarchiformes, Centrarchidae. The record is from RefSeq and is a predicted model, not a curated record.